Molecule: non-coding RNA, 219 nt
Organism: Vicia faba (fava bean)
Lineage: Eukaryota; Viridiplantae; Streptophyta; Magnoliopsida; Fabales; Fabaceae
Source: the annotation of a GenBank genome assembly
AUGAAUGGUGGCGAAGAGCGCGACUCUGUUGUUAUUGAGCUAGAGUUAGCGGAAUCAGAGGCCGGAAGAGAUUCGGUUGAAGGACUUGAGUUGAUGGAGGGGUUUCAGACAGAGGCGGAGAGAUUCAUGUGGAGAAAGGAUGAAAGGGGUGUUACUGUUUGUGUUGAAGAUGGAGAGCAGAAGCGAGUAUCACGCGGAGAAAGGAUGAGGUUACGGUGA